GGCCCUAUAGUGUAGAGGUUAUCACCUCGGAUUCUGAACAUAGUUCAAACUUCCGGUAACGCAGGUUCGAGUCCUGCUAGGGCCU
RNAcentral lists this transfer RNA (85 nucleotides) under Rhizoctonia solani. It matches the Rfam family "tRNA". Rfam says of the family: Transfer RNA (tRNA) molecules are approximately 80 nucleotides in length. Their secondary structure includes four short double-helical elements and three loops (D, anti-codon, and T loops). The record is from Rfam by way of RNAcentral. Lineage: Eukaryota; Fungi; Basidiomycota; Agaricomycetes; Cantharellales; Ceratobasidiaceae.